RNAcentral lists this long non-coding RNA (1024 nucleotides) under Ursus maritimus (polar bear). RNAcentral's name for it is "lncRNA (ENSUMAG00000009192.1)". The record is from RNAcentral. Lineage: Eukaryota; Metazoa; Chordata; Mammalia; Carnivora; Ursidae.
GAAGUGGUGGCUCUUAGGACUUGGACCGGAUUCAGAAGGUGGUGGGAAAGAGACGGUAGCUUUUAGCUGUGCGAGUAUUACUUUGAUAAAUACAAGAUGUGACCUGAGUGACAGAGUUUUCUUUGUGACGAUGAAAAAGUUUCAGAAACACACGGUAGGGAUGGUUUCACAGCACUGUGAAUGCAGUUAAUGCCACCGAAUCGUAUACUUGAAAAUGAUCAAAAUGGCAAUUUUUAUGUUUACAUGUAUUUUACCACACUAAGAAGAAAGAAGCAUGACCCAAGGAUUAACAUUAAAAGAGUCGCUUCAAAAGUGGUUGAGGGAACUCAUCUGGGCAAAACAGAUAGAUGGUAAGAGAGGAGGCAGUGAGAAGAAGCCUGGGUGUGGGAGCUGCAUGUCCAGGCCGCUUUGGAUCGUCUCGAGAGCGGUAAACACGGACGCCGGCCUGACUCACGGAAGGGCGUGUGGCCCGGGGAAACAUGCGUGAAUAAUGAGACAGCCGCAGCGCCUGCACAAGCUGAACGCUAUCAUGUAAUUUCCCUCCAGGAAAAUUUCCUCUGGGAGAAAUUCCUGAGCCAUAUCUUCCUUGGAUAUCUUCCUGAACAAUCCCAGAUCCAACACGCUGCGUGCGUGACUGAGGAUACCACACAGCCAUCGUGAACAAUCCGCUCAAAUUGAAAGAGCGUUUAAUUUCUGUUUACAGACUAUGAAGAGCGCAUGUGCAAAAAUCGGAUUCAUGAGGGUUUGUGUCAGGAAGUGGAGAGAAUGUGCGGGAAGAAGAGACACCGGGUUAUUAAGAAUUGGUUUAGAAAUAGUCUGUUCAUGGGCGCCUGGGUGGCACAGCGGUUAAGCGUCUGCCUUCGGCUCAGGGCGUGAUCCUGGCAUUCUGGGAUCGAGCCCCACAUCGGGCUCCUCCGCUAGGAGCCUGUUUCUUCCUCUCCCACUCGCCCUGCUGUGUUCCCUCUCUCGCUGGCUGUCUCUGUCACAUAAAUAAAAUCUUAAAAAAAAAAAAAAAGUCUGUUCA